Molecule: long non-coding RNA, 989 nt
Organism: Callorhinchus milii (elephant shark)
Lineage: Eukaryota; Metazoa; Chordata; Chondrichthyes; Chimaeriformes; Callorhinchidae
Exons: 3
Source: RefSeq, a predicted model, not a curated record
AAGAUUGAUGGAGCUGAAGGGGAGCUGGUGUGUAAGUUAAUGCCCUUUAUUUGCUGUGCUCUCUCUCCAUCAGAAAGGCUCAGCUACGUACCUUUGGGGUUGAAGCUGAGGGAUAUCAAAGGGUGUGAAUUGGUUUGUGUUUUUUACACACGCACAAAUCUCAGGCUCUGAGGCGACUGUCGCUGACCACAAUGUCCUGUACUUGCUGCUCACAGAGGGUGAGGGUGUGAUACGCAAACAAUGCCCACACAUGGCAUCUGGGAUGUGUUUCGUGGCUGUUAAUAGCUGGAGUUCGGGCUGGCGGGGGGCGGUGCGCCAAGCCAAACCCUCGGGCAAAGCACAGCAUCAGUUUGGCACUACGUCAAGGCAGGAAAGUGUCUGAAGAGUGAAGGUGGUAAUCGGUGUCGAUGCUCAAUGUGGAUUUAGGGGAGUGUACAGAGUGCUCGUGUGGCUGCAGAGCUGACGUGGAGCACAGACUUACUAUCUCCGAAAGGCGGAGUGACAGAGCAGUGAGGAGGUGCGGCUCAGCGGCUCUGGGUGGACAUGUUCCGGGGCCGGAGGGAGCGCUGGCUCCAAACCAGGAAAAGGGCCUCGGGAACGACUUUACUUUGUGGAUAAAAGCCAGGAGAACGAUGAGCUGCCAAUCAGCUGCAGGACAAGUGGAACAACAUGGAGAGGAAUUUGAAUAGUAAAUUGGAAGAUGCCUGAAGCAGGAGAGGUGCUCACCAGCCCCUGAGGUGUGGGAGAGAGCGAGCCACAGCGACACUGGGAGUGUGUGAGAUGAAGGUUCAACAGAAGUGCCCACCCGAGUGGCACUGAGGUUGUCUGACACGAACUUACGCCCGCGCACUGUCCAGGAACAUUGAGCCAACCUGCAAGGACUGAGAGGUGGAGUUGGAUCCAGCGCUGGGGAGGGAGGCCAGCCAUUCCUGGUGGUGAGGAGCGAGACAGCGAUUGAGCUCCCAGUCAGCUCUGUACAUCUGCACCAA